RNAcentral lists this small nucleolar RNA (155 nucleotides) under Drosophila willistoni. RNAcentral describes it as "snoRNA:GK26685". Lineage: Eukaryota; Metazoa; Arthropoda; Insecta; Diptera; Drosophilidae. The record is from RNAcentral.
GCAACUAGUUCUCACAGCGUAGCGCCGUCUUGGCCUCAAAGCCUUUUGUUGCGCCACAUUGCUGCGUUCUAUUGCUUGCUAUAUUAAAGACGGACUCCAAGAAUGCUGUGGUAUUACAAUGUGACCAAUAUGCGUUCAUUUCACCCCGUCGACAU